GACGUAGGGCGCGAGCGUUGUCCGGAUUUAUUGGGCGUAAAGAGCUCGUAGGCGGCUUGUCGCGUCGGCUGUGAAAACCCGUGGCUCAACUGUGGGCGGGCAGCUGAUACGGGCAGGCUGGAGUUCGGUAGGGGAGACUGGAAUUCCUGGUGUAGCGGUGAAAUGCGCAGAUAUCAGGAGGAACACCGGUGGCGAAGGCGGAUCUCUGGGCCAUUACUGACGCUGAGGAGCGAAAGCGUGGGGAGCGAACAGG
RNAcentral lists this ribosomal RNA (253 nucleotides) under uncultured bacterium. RNAcentral describes it as "partial 16S ribosomal RNA". It matches the Rfam family "Bacterial small subunit ribosomal RNA", at positions 524 to 776 of the family's 1533-position model. The record is from RNAcentral.